This 497-nucleotide ribosomal RNA is filed under the name uncultured bacterium. RNAcentral describes it as "partial 16S ribosomal RNA". It matches the Rfam family "Bacterial small subunit ribosomal RNA", at positions 28 to 507 of the family's 1533-position model. The record is from RNAcentral.
GAUGAACGCUGGCGGCGUGCCUAAUACAUGCCAGUCGAGCGAACGGACGAGAAGCUUGCUUCUCUGAUGUUAGCGGCGGACGGGUGAGUAACACGUGGAUAACCUACCUAUAAGACUGGGAUAACUUCGGGAAACCGGAGCUAAUACCGGAUGAUAUUUUGAACCGCAUGGUUCAAAAGUGAAAGACGGUCUUGCUGUCACUUAUAGAUGGAUCCGCGCUGCAUUAGCUAGUUGGUAAGGUAACGGCUUACCAAGGCAACGAUGCAUAGCCGACCUGAGAGGGUGAUCGGCCACACUGGAACUGAGACACGGUCCAGACUCCUACGGGAGGCAGCAGUAGGGAAUCUUACGCAAUGGGCGAAAGCCUGACGGAGCAACGCCGCGUGAGUGAUGAAGGUCUUUGGAUCGUAAAACUCUGUUAUUAGGGAAGAACAUAUGUGUAAGUAACUGUGCACAUCUUGACGGUACCUAAUCAGAAAGCCACGGCUAACUACGUG